RNAcentral lists this ribosomal RNA (929 nucleotides) under Escherichia coli. RNAcentral describes it as "partial 23S ribosomal RNA". It matches the Rfam family "Bacterial large subunit ribosomal RNA", at positions 315 to 1247 of the family's 2925-position model. The record is from RNAcentral. Lineage: Bacteria; Pseudomonadati; Pseudomonadota; Gammaproteobacteria; Enterobacterales; Enterobacteriaceae.
AAUCAGUGUGUGUGUUAGUGGAAGCGUCUGGAAAGGCGUGCGAUACAGGGUGACAGCCCCGUACACAAAAAUGCACAUAUUGUGAGCUCGAUGAGUAGGGCGGGACACGUGGUAUCCUGUCUGAAUAUGGGGGGACCAUCCUCCAAGGCUAAAUACUCCUGACUGACCGAUAGUGAACCAGUACCGUGAGGGAAAGGCGAAAAGAACCCCGGCGAGGGGAGUGAAAAAGAACCUGAAACCGUGUACGUACAAGCAGUGGGAGCACGCUUAGGCGUGUGACUGCGUACCUUUUGUAUAAUGGGUCAGCGACUUAUAUUCUGUAGCAAGGUUAACCGAAUAGGGGAGCCGAAGGGAAACCGAGUCUUAACUGGGCGUUAAGUUGCAGGGUAUAGACCCGAAACCCGGUGAUCUAGCCAUGGGCAGGUUGAAGGUUGGGUAACACUAACUGGAGGACCGAACCGACUAAUGUUGAAAAAUUAGCGGAUGACUUGUGGCUGGGGGUGAAAGGCCAAUCAAACCGGGAGAUAGCUGGUUCUCCCCGAAAGCUAUUUAGGUAGCGCCUCGUGAAUUCAUCUCCGGGGGUAGAGCACUGUUUCGGCAAGGGGGUCAUCCCGACUUACCAACCCGAUGCAAACUGCGAAUACCGGAGAAUGUUAUCACGGGAGACACACGGCGGGUGCUAACGUCCGUCGUGAAGAGGGAAACAACCCAGACCGCCAGCUAAGGUCCCAAAGUCAUGGUUAAGUGGGAAACGAUGUGGGAAGGCCCAGACAGCCAGGAUGUUGGCUUAGAAGCAGCCAUCAUUUAAAGAAAGCGUAAUAGCUCACUGGUCGAGUCGGCCUGCGCGGAAGAUGUAACGGGGCUAAACCAUGCACCGAAGCUGCGGCAGCGACGCUGAUGCGUUGUUGGGUAGGGGAGCGUUCUGUAAG